Molecule: non-coding RNA, 45 nt
Filed under: Schistosoma japonicum
Lineage: Eukaryota; Metazoa; Platyhelminthes; Trematoda; Strigeidida; Schistosomatidae
Also listed under: 1 other name
Source: RNAcentral
AUCCAGCCGAUGAGUCCCAAAUAGGACGAAACGCGCAUCCUGGAU